GAUGAACGCUGGCGGCGUGCUUAACACAUGCAAGUCGAACGGAAAGGCCAGUGCUUGCCCUGGUACUCGAGUGGCGAACGGGUGAGUAACACGUGGGUGAUCUGCCCCGCACUUCGGGAUAGCCUGGGAAACUGGGUCUAAUACCGGAUAGGACAAUGGUUUGGAUGCCGUUGUGGAAAGUUUUUUCGGUGUGGGAUGAGCUCGCGGCCUAUCAGCUUGUUGGUGGGGUAAUGGCCUACCAAGGCGUCGACGGGUAGCCGGCCUGAGAGGGUGUACGGCCACAUUGGGACUGAGAUACGGCCCAGACUCCUACGGGAGGCAGCAGUGGGGAAUAUUGCACAAUGGGCGCAAGCCUGAUGCAGCGACGCCGCGUGGGGGAUGACGGCCUUCGGGUUGUAAACUCCUUUCGCUAGGGACGAAGCGUAUUUGUGACGGUACCUGGAGAAGAAGCACCGGCUAACUACGUG
RNAcentral lists this ribosomal RNA (467 nucleotides) under uncultured bacterium. RNAcentral's name for it is "partial 16S ribosomal RNA". It matches the Rfam family "Bacterial small subunit ribosomal RNA", at positions 28 to 507 of the family's 1533-position model. The record is from RNAcentral.